CCUACGGGUGGCAGCAGUGGGGAAUAUUGGACAAUGGGGGCAACCCUGAUCCAGCCAUGCCGCGUGUGUGAAGAAGGCCCUCGGGUUGUAAAGCACUUUCAGUGAGGAAGAACGCCUGGUGGUUAAUACCCAUCAGGAAAGACAUCACUCACAGAAGAAGCACCGGCUAACUCCGUGCCAGCAGCCGCGGUAAUACGGAGGGUGCGAGCGUUAAUCAGAAUUACUGGGCGUAAAGCGCGCGUAGGUGGCUUGAUAAGCCGGUUGUGAAAGCCCCGGGCUCAACCUGGGAACGGCAUCCGGAACUGUCAAGCUAGAGUGCAGGAGAGGAAGGUAGAAUUCCCGGUGUAGCGGUGAAAUGCGUAGAGAUCGGGAGGAAUACCAGUGGCGAAGGCGGCCUUCUGGACUGACACUGACACUGAGGUGCGAAAGCGUGGGUAGCAAACAGGAUUAGAUACCCUAGUAGUC
This 465-nucleotide ribosomal RNA is filed under the name Vreelandella stevensii. Its description in RNAcentral is "partial 16S ribosomal RNA". It matches the Rfam family "Bacterial small subunit ribosomal RNA", at positions 338 to 795 of the family's 1533-position model. The record is from RNAcentral. Lineage: Bacteria; Pseudomonadati; Pseudomonadota; Gammaproteobacteria; Oceanospirillales; Halomonadaceae.